RNAcentral lists this ribosomal RNA (552 nucleotides) under Triticum aestivum (bread wheat). RNAcentral's name for it is "partial small subunit ribosomal RNA". The record is from RNAcentral. Lineage: Eukaryota; Viridiplantae; Streptophyta; Magnoliopsida; Poales; Poaceae.
AUGGUCAGCACUCAGCAGUCCAAAAGGACGGGUGCACCGGCACUCGCCCCGUCGUCGCUGCCUCAGUUCGUUCCGCCGUUGAUGCAUCAUCUCGUCCGGCCGUCGGCGCCACAGCUAAUCCUGCCAUCGGCGCUGCACCUCGUCCCGCCGCUGGCACCUCACCUUGUCCCACCACCACGCCAGCCCACCAAAGGCAGCGGCGGCCUCUACACCAUGCUGGCUCCCCCAGACGCAAGGCCCCUUGUGUUCGGUCUUGCCAUGCUAGCCUUCUAUUUGAUACAUUUGUUCACCUGUUUAUGCAUCUCUGGGGAGUGGAUUCUCACCCACCUGGUGGGUUCCUUGGUUUAUUUAACAACACGCCAAGCCUUUCACAAUCUUGAGGCUCGGAAGCUUCCAUGCCUUGCAGCAAAAGAUCACAAGGAGUCAGUCAUGCUAGAAACAUACCGCUCGUUGAUGAUGCAAGACACAACUAGGAUGUCUGAAGAUGUGAGAUGUGAGGACGUGUUGGCAUUGAAGUGUUUCCGGGAGAAGCUAUUUGGCAAAACUGACUAA